Molecule: ribosomal RNA, 498 nt
Filed under: uncultured bacterium
Lineage: Bacteria
Description: SSU rRNA
Rfam family: Bacterial small subunit ribosomal RNA
Source: RNAcentral
AGGACGAACGCUGGCGGCGUGCUUAACACAUGCAAGUCGAACGGAAAGGCCCUUUCGGGGGUACUCGAGUGGCGAACGGGUGAGUAACACGUGGGUGAUCUGCCCUGCACUUUGGGAUAAGCCUGGGAAACUGGGUCUAAUACCGAAUACACCCUGCUGGUCGCAUGGCCUGGUGGGGGAAAGCUUUUGCGGUGUGGGAUGGGCCCGCGGCCUAUCAGCUUGUUGGUGGGGUGAUGGCCUACCAAGGCGACGACGGGUAGCCGGCCUGAGAGGGUGUCCGGCCACACUGGGACUGAGACACGGCCCAGACUCCUACGGGAGGCAGCAGUGGGGAAUAUUGGACAAUGGGGGAAACCCUGAUCCAGCGACGCCGCGUGUGUGAAGAAGGCCUGCGGGUUGUAAAGCACUUUUAGUGGGGAUGAAAAGCCUAGGGUUAACACCUCUGGGUCUUGACCUAACCACAGAAAAAGCACCGGCUAACUCUGUGCCAGCAGCCGC